CGAUGACGACCGUGCUUGCACGGUCUGAUUAGUGGCGAACGGGUGAGUAACACGUGAGUAACCUGCCCCCCACUUCGGGAUAACCUCGGGAAAUCGUGGCUAAUACCGGAUAUGAGUGCCUGCCGCAUGGUGGGUGCUGGAAAGUUUUUCGGUGGGGGAUGGGCUCGCGGCCUAUCAGUUUGUUGGUGAGGUGAUGGCUCACCAAGACGAUGACGGGUAGCCGGCCUGAGAGGGCGACCGGCCACACUGGGACUGAGACACGGCCCAGACUCCUACGGGAGGCAGCAGUGGGGAAUAUUGCACAAUGGGCGAAAGCCUGAUGCAGCGACGCCGCGUGAGGGAUGACGGCCUUCGGGUUGUAAACCUCUUUCAGUAGGGAAGAAGCGAAAGUGACGGUACCUGCAGAAGAAGCGCCGGCUAACUACGUGCCAGCAGCCGCGGUAAUACGUAGGGCGCAAGCGUUGUCCGGAAUUAUUGGGCGUAAAGAGCUUGUAGGUGGCUUGUCGCGUCUGCCGUGAAAACCCGAGGCUCAACCUCGGGCGUGCGGUGGGUACGGGCAGGCUAGAGUGUGGUAGGGGAGACUGGAACUCCUGGUGUAGCGGUGAAAUGCGCAGAUAUCAGGAAGAACACCGAUGGCGAAGGCAGGUCUCUGGGCCAUUACUGACACUGAGAAGCGAAAGCAUGGGUAGCGAACAGGAUUAGAUACCCUGGUAGUCCAUGCCGUAAACGUUGGGCACUAGGUGUGGGGGGACAUUCCACGUUUUCCGCGCCGUAGCUAACGCAUUAAGUGCCCCGCCUGGGGAGUAC
This 807-nucleotide ribosomal RNA is filed under the name Brachybacterium sp. RNAcentral's name for it is "bacterial SSU rRNA". It matches the Rfam family "Bacterial small subunit ribosomal RNA", at positions 67 to 883 of the family's 1533-position model. The record is from RNAcentral. Lineage: Bacteria; Bacillati; Actinomycetota; Actinomycetes; Micrococcales; Dermabacteraceae.